CGGGAACUUACCUAAAAGAAACAUUGAUGA
RNAcentral lists this non-coding RNA (30 nucleotides) under Mus musculus (house mouse). The record is from RNAcentral. Lineage: Eukaryota; Metazoa; Chordata; Mammalia; Rodentia; Muridae.